GGAUGAAGAACGUAGCGAAAUGCGAUAAGGAGGGUGAAUUGCAGAAUUCAGUGAAUCAUCGAAUCUUUGAACGCACAUUGCGCCCCUUGGUAUCCCGAGGGGCAUGCCUGUUCGAGCGUCAUUUCACCACUCAAGCCUGGCUUGGUGUUGGGCGACGUCCUCUUUGGGGACGCGCCUCGAAACGCUCGGCGGCGUGGCACCGGCUUUAAGCGUAGCAGAAUCUUUCGCUUUGGAAGUCGGGGCCCCGUCUGCCGGAAGACCUGCUCGCAAGGUUGACCUCGGAUCAGGCAGGGAUACCCGCUGAACUUAAGCAUAUCAAUAAGCGGAGGA
RNAcentral lists this unclassified non-coding RNA (330 nucleotides) under soil metagenome. RNAcentral's name for it is "partial contains 5.8S ribosomal RNA, internal transcribed spacer 2, and large subunit ribosomal RNA". The stretch from base 2 to 121 matches the Rfam family "5.8S ribosomal RNA", at positions 35 to 154 of the family's 154-position model. The record is from RNAcentral.